GAGAGAGAGAGGGGGGUCAGCCAAUAUUAUAAUUUUAACACACUUUGAGGGCUGAUCAGCGGGCUGCUGGUGCUAAAUUUUUUUUAUAUAGAUACACGCAGUCACAUAGAGGAAAAAGGAAGAAACAGUCAGUCAUUAUUAUAUAACUUCACACACAUUGAAAGGCUGGCCGGUUGCUGCAUUAUCAUAUUAUACAUACACAGGAACGGAGCAGCCAAGAGGAGAAUUACACGCAUAGACUGAAUUAAAAGGAACACAAUUUUGGCUGCUGCUGGAUUAAACAAUAGACAGAAUACACACGGCAGAUUUGGGCAGAAAAGAAGAAGAAGACGGCUAGAGCAAAAUUGGGAAAUUCAUUCACGUUUCGUCAAUUAAUCCCGGUGAUGUCUUCCAUUAUUUUAUCUUGCGUUUCUUCCAUUAUUAUGAGUAGUUAGAUUUGAUUUAGGACGAACAACGUAAUCUUUUGGAACCCUUUAUUUCAUGCAAUUAAGAUUCUAGUGCUCUUAUUUAAUAUGUGUUGAUUUUAAUGUUGUUCUUAAUGCAUUUAA
Molecule: long non-coding RNA, 548 nt
Filed under: Olea europaea subsp. europaea
Lineage: Eukaryota; Viridiplantae; Streptophyta; Magnoliopsida; Lamiales; Oleaceae
Source: RNAcentral